AGCAGCCGCGGUAAUUCCAGCUCCAAUAGCGUAUAUUAAAGUUGUUGCAGUUAAAAAGCUCGUAGUUGAAUUUCGGAAUCUGUCCAUUGGUCGGGCUUCACUGUCCGUACUGGUGUGGUGGGUUCUUACCUUCUGAAUAACCAGCAUGCCAUUUAUUUGGUGCGUUGGGGAAGCAGGACUAUUACCUUGAAAAAAUUAGAGUGCUCAAAGCAGGCUAGUGCCUGAAUACAUUAGCAUGGAAUAAUAAAAUAGGACGGCAUGGUUCUAUUUUGUUGGUUUCUAGGAUCACCGUAAUGAUUAAUAGGGAUAGUUGGGGGCAUUAGUAUUCAAUUGUCAGAGGUGAAAUUCUUGGAUUUAUUGAAGACUAACUUCUGCGAAAGCAUUUGCCAAGGAUGUUUUCAUUAAUCAAGAACGAAAGUUAGGGGAUCGAAGACGAUCAGAUACCGUCGUAGUCUUAACCAUAAAC
Molecule: ribosomal RNA, 466 nt
Filed under: uncultured Acaulospora
Lineage: Eukaryota; Fungi; Glomeromycota; Glomeromycetes; Diversisporales; Acaulosporaceae
Description: SSU rRNA
Rfam family: Eukaryotic small subunit ribosomal RNA
Source: RNAcentral